ACUACGGGGGGCAGCAGUAGGGAAUAUUGCUCAAUGGGGGAAACCCUGAAGCAGCAACGCCGCGUGGAGGAUGAAGGUUUUCGGAUUGGAAACUCCUUUUGUUAGAGAAGAGAAUGACGGUAUCUAACGAAUAAGCACCGGCUAACGCCGUGCCAGCAGCCGCGGUAAUACGGAGGGUGCAAGCGUUACUCGGAAUCACUGGGCGUAAAGAGCGCGUAGGCGGGAUAGCAAGUCAGAUGUGAAAUCCUAUGGCUUAACCAUAGAACUGCAUUUGAAACUGUUAUUCUAGAGUAUGGGAGAGGUAGGUGGAAUUCUUGGUGUAGGGGUCAAAUCCGUAGAGAUCACGAGGAAUACUCAUUGCGAAGGCGACCUGCUAGAACAUCCCUGACGCUGAUGCGCGAAAGCGUGGGGAGCAAACAGGAUUAGAUACCCUUGUAGUC
RNAcentral lists this ribosomal RNA (440 nucleotides) under uncultured bacterium. RNAcentral describes it as "partial 16S ribosomal RNA". It matches the Rfam family "Bacterial small subunit ribosomal RNA", at positions 338 to 795 of the family's 1533-position model. The record is from RNAcentral.